Molecule: long non-coding RNA, 2034 nt
Organism: Olea europaea var. sylvestris
Lineage: Eukaryota; Viridiplantae; Streptophyta; Magnoliopsida; Lamiales; Oleaceae
Exons: 4
Source: RefSeq, a predicted model, not a curated record
UUUUCAAAAUUUCUAUUUGUAAGAAUAAGCUUUGUCAAAAGGAUACAUACACGCUGUAAAGCAUGAUACAAGGCAUUAUUCUCUAUUUUAUUUUAUUUUGAGUGAUUUUGAACCGAAAUUCCUCUCUCCCUCUUUUUCAGUCUUCUCAAUUUUCCUUCUUUCUGUUCUGUCAAAAUUGCCUUUCACACAUUAAAGAUGUGGUGGAAAUAUUUAAAAAAUAGAAUUAAGUUAUAACUUAUAAGUACAAGCCAAAGUUCACAGAUGUGUUAUAGAAAUUCAAACAAAAUGACGUGACAGGCUCAUUUAAAGAAAUAAUAAACAAAAGGAAAAUGUAUUACUUGCGCUAAGAAAAGCGAGAAGGAAGAAGAGCGCCAUUUCCCCAAAUGCCAAGAUAGAGAAACCUACCAUCCCUGAUCUCCACAUCUCCUACCAGCAUUCCGUCGCCGUUUACGCUACAUCUUCGGCCAACGAAUUGUCGACCACCCAAUAAAACCUGAGGAACGGAAAUAAUGGAAGAUGUAAAUUAUGAUUUGUUGCUGGAAUGUGAUAAUGAGAACAUUGCAGAGAAUUUGAAUAUGUUAGACAACGAAAUGUAGGAGGAGAUGUUGUGACUGUGCCUGAAGUUGGGUAUGAUGUUCAAUGAUGAGAAAGAAAUGUUUGAAUUCUAUAAAAGCUAUGCUUAUGCCGUAGGCUUUUCAGUGAGGAAAAUGAAUUCAGAAAAUGGGAAAGAUGAAUGUCACAUGUGUAGUCGUUAAAGUUAACGAACUUAUGCUACAGGCGGCUCCUUGAAGCCACAGCCAACAAGUUAAACGGAUUGUAAAGCAAGAAUAUCUGCAUCUUUGGAUGGUCUUGGAAUAUGGAGAAUUAAUAAAGUAUACCUAAACCACAAUCAUAAAACAAGACAUUCCAAGUUUAGGUUUUAUCGAUGCAACUGAAAAUUGAGUGCGAGUGUGAAAUGAAAGCUUGAAGUAAAUGACAUGGUAAGAAUUCUCUUCCACAUGUGUUAUAACUCCGCAGUGGUAAAAGCUAGUGGAUAUGAAAAAUACAACUUUUGUAGAGAAAGAUUGUCGAAAUUAUAUUGAAUUUGUGAGAUGAUUACGCCUUAGAGAAUGAGAUACCCUUACAAUACAGGCGUAUUUUUCAAAGAAGCAAGCACUUUGCUUGAAAUUUUACUUUAGUAUUGACUUAGAUGAUGAUGUAGACUAAAGAAUGCUUUUGGGUAGAUAAUAAGUGUAGACAUAUAAGGAGUUCGGUGAUGUUGUCACUUUGAUACUAUAUAUUUCACUAUAAUGGAGUGGAUAAAAUUGCAAGUAAAAGAUUUACGAAUGACAAAGUCAAGUGUAGGAAGUGUCGUCCACUCAUAGCAUAACAACAACAACGAAAAUAUAUUAGAUCCUAUGUCGUCGAACAGAAAGGACGCAUCAAAGAAACUUCAGAGGAAAGGCCCAUUAAAGUCUAGUUUAAAGAGAGUAAGGCCACCGCAUCGUUAAGCAAAGGAAAAAGGCCUCGAGCUAGGCAUAGUAAUACAGAAGAGGGAUCAAUCGAUGUCUAGGCAUCUCAACUACCACAAUGUUCUAUGUCGACGCCAUUGCAAUAUUUCGGCAGUCCGUCACCUACAAAUGUUAUAGUCAAUGCUGAAGACUUUGUCAUGCCAUACUUCUAUCAACAUUUACUCGAUCGAGGUGGCUGAGGCUUGUGAUUCUCGUAUGAAAGGUACAUGUGGACAAAUUUACUUGAUGCUAUUUUAUUUUUGGGCACUUAAGCCAUCUUUCUGUAUCAUAUGGUUGUAGUUGUGUGUAUGCUGCAGUACGAAGUGGAGAUCGUUCACAUCAUCCACUUUGAGAAGUGAAUACUGACUUUAUGACGAAAUUUCGGUGUAAUUAAUGUUGGACCUACUUUUUUUAUAAAAUAUAGGGUCGAGAAUUUGACUACCUUCUUUCAAUGUUUGUAUUGGAAAUAUAAUUAUUACAAUUUGAAGUUACUUGUUUAUGAAUGUUCAAUGUUGAGUAGCUAAUUGGCAGGCUUUAUGUGGUU